UGGAAAUAACCAGUUCUAAAAGUGAUUUAAAAAUAUGAUUUUAAGCUUUUCACAGGUAUGUCUGUCAGAAUAAAAAUUUCAAUGAAGUCAUAUUCUGAGCAAAUAAAAAUGUUCUUCUUUUUUUUUUAUAUAACUAUAAACAAUUGAGGAUAAUAGACGUAUAUCAGUGAUAAGUAAAAUUAUUUUUCUUAAUCAGUUCCAGACCUAGAAUUUUAUAAUCUAUUUACCUUUUCCUUUUCUUUUUUCACUGGAUUAUACAUUUUCAAAAUAGAAAUUAUUAGAACAGUUUGACAGUUUAUCAAGUAGACAUUUAUUCUUAGUAUGCUUACUAUAAUUGCCUGUAUUUUGUAGAUUAACAUGAAUUCUACUUAAAAUACAGAAUAUACAUCUUCAGAUUUUGUUUUUUAAAUGAUAUGUAUUGUCAUAAAAUAAUUAAUUUCAUUGUAUUGCCAAUAAUUUAUUAUAUUAUCCCAUACUAAAAUUCUUAAUGUUAGAAAAUAUUGUUAUUAAUAUUCAGUUUUUUCGAGAAGUUUCAUAAUUUUACUGUAGAAAUGUUUAAGAAAGUGGCUUUGACGAAACAUGUGAUCAUAAUCCUCUGUGCUGUUGCAAUAACGACAAUUUGAAAUGUUGCAGAUCUUCCACUUUUUCAAUAAAACUCUUACAAGGCAAAAUAAAGUGUAGCAAUUUCCAACUUAUUUUCUGUUAAAUAAUGAUGAACAAAUUUUAACAUAUAAUAAACUCAUCAUGGAUAUCAGGGCUAAAUUUAGUAUAUACGCCAGACGCGCGUUUCGUCUACAAAGACUCAUCAGUGACGCUCGAAUCCAAAAAAGUUAAAAAUAACGUAAUAAAUAAAUAAAAUACGAAGUUGAAGAGCAUUUAGAACCAAAAUUCCUAAACAUUUUGCCAAAUACAGCUAAGGUGAUCUAUAACAUGAAACACUCUUAUUGUAUUCAAUGUUAUCGUGAUUUGUAUGGUCAUAUACUUAUAUAUGGUUAUUGUUUUCCUUAAAACUGCGUCCGAAAAAUUAUGAGUUUGAUCACAUUCGUAUGAAACCUUAGACCCAAUAAAAGGUAUUUGAUGUUUCCCCCAAACUAUAAAUAACAGCAAAGACUUAUGCAUGUAACCUUUUAAAGUUCCCGUCCUUCAUAUGCAAGUAAUAUUUGAUGUUUGAUAUUGAAUCAAACAUACUUUUAACACAAACACAUCUUUUAUCAACAAACGACUCACCAUUGACGCUUAAAAUAAAAAAAAUAAAAUUAACAGGCGGAUAUCAUAUGGAAUUCAAUAUAUAUAAAAAUACCAUUAGCUCUUUAUUUUAGAAGACAUACACCGUCUAAGAACGGUGUUUGGAUUGCUUAUAUCUGUUUUUAUCAGAUGAUUGUACUAAAUGUAGAUAUGAAAUUUGAAUCAUAUUGUCAUGACAGUACUAUUUUAUUGUGAUAAAUUGUACUUAUACUUUUAAUUUAACAAAGUAAAAAUAUAUUCCCAGUGAAACAGAAUAGUGCUAUAUCUAUCUAUGUCUUUUAAUAGGAUCAAUGCAGAUUAAACUACGGACAGCCCUAGACAAUUUGACUUUGAAUUUAACUAUUUAUAUUGGUUCACGACCAAAGGAGAGAAAUAAUCAUAUGACAAGAUUCACAUGGAAGUCGUCCGAUGCCUGCGAUCCACGAAACAUGGACAUUGAACUUGCCCAGUAUCAUAAUGAAAAAAAUUGGGAAACCUGAAACACACGAAUG
Molecule: long non-coding RNA, 1736 nt
Filed under: Mytilus galloprovincialis (Mediterranean mussel)
Lineage: Eukaryota; Metazoa; Mollusca; Bivalvia; Mytilida; Mytilidae
Source: RNAcentral